Molecule: ribosomal RNA, 897 nt
Filed under: Piloderma sp. 8 RT-2012
Lineage: Eukaryota; Fungi; Basidiomycota; Agaricomycetes; Atheliales; Atheliaceae
Description: eukaryotic LSU rRNA
Rfam family: Eukaryotic large subunit ribosomal RNA (bases 677-897)
Source: RNAcentral
CUUAGUGAGGUCUCCGGAUUGGCUUUGGGGAGCCGGCGACGGCACCCUAUCGCUGAGAAGCUGAUCAAACUUGGUCAUUUAGAGGAAGUAAAAGUCGUAACAAGGUUUCCGUAGGUGAACCUGCGGAAGGAUCAUUAUCGAAAUUAUAGGCGAGGGUUGUAGCUGGCCUCUCGGGGCACGUGCACGCCCGAGCCCUUAAUCCACACACACCUGUGAACCUAUUGUAAGGGCCCGUGAAAAAGGCCUUUACGUUUUAUCAUCAACCCACUGUAUGUCUCAUAGAAUGUAAAUCUAUAUCCUCGCCCUAAAAAGCGUUGAUAAAACUUAUACAACUUUCAACAACGGAUCUCUUGGCUCUCGCAUCGAUGAAGAACGCAGCGAAAUGCGAUAAGUAAUGUGAAUUGCAGAUUUUCAGUGAAUCAUCGAAUCUUUGAACGCACCUUGCGCUCCUUGGUAUUCCGAGGAGCAUGCCUGUUUGAGUGUCAUUAAAUUCUCAACUCCGAUCGAUUUGUUUCGACUUCGGAGCUUGGAUUUGGAGCGUGCUGGCGUCGGUCGGCUCCUCUUAAACGCAUCAGCGGAAUCUAACGUUUUGGAUGUCAGUGUGAUAAUCAUGUUGCGCUGUCCUCCGAUCCGAAAGCCCGCUCACAAUGGUCUUCGGACGACUUCAUAUCAAAUUUGACCUCAAAUCAGGUAGGACUACCCGCUGAACUUAAGCAUAUCAAUAAGCGGAGGAAAAGAAACUAACAAGGAUUCCCCUAGUAACUGCGAGUGAAGCGGGAAAAGCUCAAAUUUAAAAUCUGGCGGUCUCGCGGCCGUCCGAGUUGUAAUCUGGAGAAGCGNUUAUCCGCGUCGGACCGUGUACAAGUCUUCUGGAAGGGAGCGUCGUAGAGGGUGAGA